GACGAACGCUGGCGGCGUGCUUAACACAUGCAAGUCGAGCGGUAAGGCCCUUUCGGGGGUACACGAGCGGCGAACGGGUGAGUAACACGUGGGUGACCUGCCUUUAGCUCUGGGAUAAGCCUGGGAAACCGGGUCUAAUACCGGAUAUGACUCCGCGGCGCAUGUUGUGGGGUGGAAAGCCUUGUGCGGCUGGAGAUGGGCCCGCGGCCUAUCAGCUUGUUGGUGGGGUGAUGGCCUACCAAGGCGACGACGGGUAGCCGGCCUGAGAGGGCGACCGGCCACACUGGGACUGAGACACGGCCCAGACUCCUACGGGAGGCAGCAGUGGGGAAUCUUGCGCAAUGGGCGAAGCCUGACGCAGCGACGCCGCGUGAGGGAUGACGGCCUCGGUU
Molecule: ribosomal RNA, 392 nt
Filed under: uncultured bacterium
Lineage: Bacteria
Description: bacterial SSU rRNA
Rfam family: Bacterial small subunit ribosomal RNA
Source: RNAcentral